RNAcentral lists this unclassified non-coding RNA (228 nucleotides) under plant metagenome. Its description in RNAcentral is "partial contains small subunit ribosomal RNA and internal transcribed spacer 1". The stretch from base 1 to 47 matches the Rfam family "Eukaryotic small subunit ribosomal RNA", at positions 1786 to 1831 of the family's 1831-position model. The record is from RNAcentral.
AAGUCGUAACAAGGUCUCCGUAGGUGAACCUGCGGGAGGGAUCAUUACAGCAAAUGAUGAAGGCGGGGCCUGGAAGGUCCUCUCGGGGCUUUACAGCCAUUUGCUUGAAUUAUUCCAUCCCUUGUUCUUUGCGUACUUCUUGUUUCCUUGGUGGGUUCGCCCACCACUAGGACAAACAUAAACCUUUUGUAAUUGCAAUCAGCGUCAGUAACAAAUUAAUAAUUACAA